GAUGAAGAACGCAGCGAAAUGCGAUAAGUAGUGUGAAUUGCAGAAUUCAGUGAAUCAUCGAAUCUUUGAACGCACAUUGCGCCCUUUGGUAUUCCAAAGGGCAUGCCUGUUCGAGCGUCAUUUGUACCCUCAAGCUUUGCUUGGUGUUGGGCGUCUUGUCUCUAGCUUUGCUGGAGACUCGCCUUAAAGUAAUUGGCAGCCGGCCUACUGGUUUCGGAGCGCAGCACAAGUCGCACUCUCUAUCAGCAAAGGUCUAGCACCCAUUAAGCCUUUUUUUCAACUUUUGACCUCGGAUCAGGUAGGGAUACCCGCUGAACUUAAGCAUAUCAAUAAGCGGAGGA
This 341-nucleotide unclassified non-coding RNA is filed under the name soil metagenome. RNAcentral's name for it is "partial contains 5.8S ribosomal RNA, internal transcribed spacer 2, and large subunit ribosomal RNA". The stretch from base 1 to 120 matches the Rfam family "5.8S ribosomal RNA", at positions 35 to 154 of the family's 154-position model. The record is from RNAcentral.